Molecule: small RNA, 77 nt
Filed under: Epilithonimonas arachidiradicis
Lineage: Bacteria; Pseudomonadati; Bacteroidota; Flavobacteriia; Flavobacteriales; Weeksellaceae
Description: Chryseobacterium arachidiradicis Flavo-1 RNA
Rfam family: Flavo-1 RNA
Source: RNAcentral
CCCUAGCCCUGAUUGCAGUGGAAAUCCUUUUUCUUUUUCGAAAAAGAAAAAGAUUGCAACGGAAAGCGGGAAAUAGC